UGGAGCAUGUGGUUUAAUUCGAAGCAACGCGAAGAACCUUACCUGGCCUUGACAUGCUGAGAACUUUCCAGAGAUGGAUUGGUGCCUUCGGGAACUCAGACACAGGUGCUGCAUGGCUGUCGUCAGCUCGUGUCGUGAGAUGUUGGGUUAAGUCCCGUAACGAGCGCAACCCUUGUCCUUAGUUACCAGCACGUAAUGGUGGGCACUCUAAGGAGACUGCCGGUGACAAACCGGAGGAAGUGGGAUGACGUCAAGUCAUCAUGGCCCUUACGGCCAGGGCUACACACGUGCUACAAUGGUCGGUACAGAGGGUUGCCAAGCCGCGAGGUGGAGCUAAUCUCACAAAACCGAUCGUAGUCCGGAUCGCAGUCUGCAACUCGACUGCGUGAAGUCGGAAUCGCUAGUAAUCGUGAAUCAGCAUGUCACGGUGAAUACGUUCCCGGGUCUU
Molecule: ribosomal RNA, 448 nt
Filed under: uncultured Pseudomonas sp.
Lineage: Bacteria; Pseudomonadati; Pseudomonadota; Gammaproteobacteria; Pseudomonadales; Pseudomonadaceae
Description: bacterial SSU rRNA
Rfam family: Bacterial small subunit ribosomal RNA
Source: RNAcentral